CCGGCGCACGGGUGAGUAACGCGUAUGCAACUUGCCUAUCAGAGGGGGAUAACCCGGCGAAAGUCGGACUAAUACCGCAUGGAGCAGGGGUCCCGCAUGGGAAUAUUUGCUAAAGAUUCAUCGCUGAUAGAUAGGCAUGCGUUCCAUUAGGCAGUUGGCGGGGUAACGGCCCACCAAACCGACGAUGGAUAGGGGUUCUGAGAGGAAGGUCCCCCACAUUGGUACUGAGACACGGACCAA
This 240-nucleotide ribosomal RNA is filed under the name uncultured bacterium. Its description in RNAcentral is "partial 16S ribosomal RNA". It matches the Rfam family "Bacterial small subunit ribosomal RNA", at positions 95 to 334 of the family's 1533-position model. The record is from RNAcentral.